UUGAGGUUUUAACUUCUGUUGUGGCAUUGCUCAGAACUUCCAAGGGUGGAUGCGGUAUUUAAAAACUGAUCCACUUCCCACUAGAGGGUACGUAUUACAGAGGAGAAGGCAACCAUCUUCAUUACUAAACAUUUGUUCUGUAUAAGCAACGGUAACAGAAACUAAGAAGAAAGCAUUAUAACCUGACAAGACUGAGAAUGGAGUGAGAGCUUAACUCCUUACACUUGAACUUCAUUAGCAUUUUUCUCCUAAUCAUUCUUAUUUUACUCACAUGUGCCUGUUCUUUUCACCAAUCCCAAUCAGCCAAAUUCUUCUUUAAGGAUUUAGAAGCACUCAGCAGUACUCACAUUUUUGUUUCAGGACAAACCUUUGAAUUGUUCUCAUCUCCUGCUCUCUACUUCCUUAUGUUGUGAAGAUAGCUGGUAAAGGGAAAGCAUGUGCACUGACUCUGAGGCAUACAGAGCUGAUGUAAUUUCAUGGCAAGAAGACUCCUGCUGCCCUUAAGAAUACUCAGGACUUCAGGAAGUCUAACAAGCUAGAAGAGUAGCAGAGUGGCUAACUAGGACUCCUGGACCUAUCUGUACUUGAAAUGCUCUGUUUAAAGCUUAGAAUCCUUGCUCCUCUCUGCGUGUAAGUCUGGCUUCCCAUUCCAACCAAAAGCCAGUUUUCUACAAAUGGAUCAGGAGUUGGUCACAUUCUUGGAACAGACUGAGCUUUGAGAGAUUGGUUUUCUAUGUGAAACAUUGGCACCCAAUCUGCUGUUACGCUGCAGGAAGGAGGCUUUUGGGGUUGUUUCUCUGGCCCCAGCCCAAGUGCAUGUACACACAACCACGUUGCCAAAUUCCCCCAGUUGACAACAGAGAGAUGGGAGGGAAAUGAGGGAGCAGAAAAAGAAGAGAAAUAAGUCCUAUUUUUUCUACCUCUAGGCUCUGAAAAAGAUCUUGGCUGCUCUACUUAUAGGAAAGAUACAAUUGCAAUUAAACUCCUAACAAUGUAGCAUACCUGUUAAAAACAAAUGAACAAACAAAAACAUAUUUCCAUAUCUUUUAUUGUCUUGUAUCUUUGUACGUGGACUCUGUAAGUCCUACUUUAAAAUGGUAAACUGCUUCUGUGUUCAGCCUUGUAUGAGAAGAAUAACCCACUUUCGGGAAGCAAGACAAUUCGGCCACAAUAUGUCAGAUCAGUCCUGGGAUUAUCUUCCACAGACACUCACCUCUCUUCCCCUUCCCCAGCCCAAAUUCUGCCAACAGCAUCACACUAUGCUGAUUGAAUACCAGUAAACUUCUGUUCGUUAGAGACUGGGCUUAUAAUGCAAACACCGCAGUACUGCACAGUUCUCAUUUUAAAUGAAGAUCCAGAUUUAGGUUCUUUUGAGCAUCUAGAGCUUAGAUGUCAUGAUAUGCUUAACUCUUCCUUUCAUAACUGAUAUAUAGCAGUAAGAUACUUUCAUCUCCCUUGUCUUAAAAAGCAUAAUCUGGUAAAUCCCAUCACUAAUGUAGAAAGCAUUAAGCAAAAAUUUACUUUGCUCACAUUAAGGAAAGUUACUCUUUGUCCUGAAGUAAAUUACUUUUCUUCUGUACUUCAAUGGAAACUGGGUUGCCAGAAACCUUAUAUCCGCUCUAUAGCAUGAAACAGCAACUGCAUGUAAAGACAAAAAUAUUUACUGCCAUUCAUGAAUAAAGAAUAAAAUGGUAGAAUCCAUUCUUGAUAUUUAACCCUAAAAGUUCAUGUACACAAAAAAUGAGAUAGGAAGAUUCAAACUCUGGUAUUCCUUCCCCUGCCCCUCCAAACAUUCAGGAGUGGAAGUGAUCAUCAGAAGCAGAAAAGUAUUUUGAUCUUUGUUACAUUGGGACUAUGGAAUCUAAGCAACUAUUUUACAAGGCACUGUAAUUGUUUGUACUUGCAAAACUGGAUUAAGAAAUCACUGCUAUUCUUAA
Long non-coding RNA from Numida meleagris (helmeted guineafowl), 1937 nucleotides. RefSeq lists it as uncharacterized. The transcript is spliced from 5 exons. The record is from RefSeq and is a predicted model, not a curated record. NCBI's taxonomy places the organism in Eukaryota, Metazoa, Chordata, Aves, Galliformes, Numididae.